AGAACGAACGCUGGCGGCGUGGAUAAGACAUGCAAGUCGAACGCGACUUAUCAGGUUAGCAAUAACUCGGUAAGUUGAGUGGCGAAAGGGUGCGUAACACGUGGGAAUUUACCGAGAAGUGGGGAAUAGCUUGACGAAAGUCAAAUUAAUACCGCAUGUGAUCGAAAGAUCAAAGCCGGGGACCGCAAGGCCUGGCGCUUCUUGAGAAGCCCGCGGCCCAUCAGCUAGUUGGCGGGGUAAAAGCCCACCAAGGCUAUGACGGGUAGCUGGUCUGAGAGGACGACCAGCCACACUGGAACUGAGACACGGUCCAGACACCUACGGGUGGCAGCAGUCGAGAAUUUUUCACAAUGG
This 354-nucleotide ribosomal RNA is filed under the name uncultured bacterium. Its description in RNAcentral is "SSU rRNA". It matches the Rfam family "Bacterial small subunit ribosomal RNA", at positions 26 to 374 of the family's 1533-position model. The record is from RNAcentral.